This 141-nucleotide small nuclear RNA is filed under the name Aotus nancymaae (Ma's night monkey). RNAcentral's name for it is "U4 spliceosomal RNA (ENSANAG00000007929.1)". It matches the Rfam family "U4 spliceosomal RNA". From Rfam's summary of the family: U4 small nuclear RNA (U4 snRNA) is a component of the major U2-dependent spliceosome. The record is from Rfam by way of RNAcentral. Lineage: Eukaryota; Metazoa; Chordata; Mammalia; Primates; Aotidae.
AGCUUUGUGCAGUGGCAGUAUUGUAACCAAUGAGGUUUAUCUGAGGUGCAAUUAUUGCUAAUUGAAAACUUUUCCCAAUACCCCGCCAUGACGACUUGAAAUAUAGUCAGCAUUGGCAAUUUUUGACAGUCUCUAUGGAGA